Molecule: small nuclear RNA, 104 nt
Organism: Cebus imitator (Panamanian white-faced capuchin)
Lineage: Eukaryota; Metazoa; Chordata; Mammalia; Primates; Cebidae
Source: Ensembl
GUGCUUGUUUCAGCAGCACAUGUACUAAAACUGGAAGCUAAGAGAAGAUUCGGAUGGCCCUGUGCAAGGAUGACACCCAGGUUUGUGAAGCACUCCAUUUAAAA